Molecule: long non-coding RNA, 346 nt
Organism: Nerophis ophidion (straightnose pipefish)
Lineage: Eukaryota; Metazoa; Chordata; Actinopteri; Syngnathiformes; Syngnathidae
Exons: 3
Source: RefSeq, a predicted model, not a curated record
GGAAAUGAAAGCGAACUCAGCACACUUUUUUUUUUUUUAUUAUCCCCGGCGCCAUUAUUUCUGAUGCUGACAGGACUACUACGCCACCUGCAUCUGGGCCAGCAUCCUCCGAGGGAAGGCGGACUAAUGAAGUGCGAGGGGCCAGAUGGAGGAGGGUCGAAAUCUCUGGGAAGAAGCGGUGACUCAGAAGGAAGGGACCCAAUUUUGGGAGCGGAGGAACUUCCGCCAGACGCUCCGGCAGCGCGUUGGAAACCAUGAGGGGGGCUAGCGAACGAGAGUGACACUGCCAGACGAAAGAACAAGCGGAAGAGACGACCUUGUGCAUGAGCUGAAAAGCUAAAAGGAC